AAGACUAUACUUUUUGACCCAUUUCUAUAGUCUGUUACUAGAGAAGAUUCCCUGGCUGUGUAGAGGACUGGAAACCAGGAGGAAGAGGUGCUGCUUCUCUCCUGGGCAUGAAGCCAGCUCUAGGUUGUUUUGCUGUCACUUUGCCAGGGAUGAUCGUUCUUCUCUUCCUUCCAGAGAGUAAGAGGAAAGGAUGCAGCCUGAGUGGU
RNAcentral lists this small nucleolar RNA (206 nucleotides) under Carlito syrichta (Philippine tarsier). RNAcentral's name for it is "Small nucleolar RNA U3 (ENSTSYG00000025795.1)". It matches the Rfam family "Small nucleolar RNA U3". From Rfam's summary of the family: Small nucleolar RNAs (snoRNAs) are involved in the processing and modification of rRNA in the nucleolus. There are two main classes of snoRNAs: the box C/D class, and the box H/ACA class. Lineage: Eukaryota; Metazoa; Chordata; Mammalia; Primates; Tarsiidae. The record is from Rfam by way of RNAcentral.